This 65-nucleotide transfer RNA is filed under the name Ornithorhynchus anatinus (platypus). It matches the Rfam family "tRNA". Rfam says of the family: Transfer RNA (tRNA) molecules are approximately 80 nucleotides in length. Lineage: Eukaryota; Metazoa; Chordata; Mammalia; Monotremata; Ornithorhynchidae. The record is from Rfam by way of RNAcentral.
AGCAGUGUGGCCUAGGGGAAAGGUCUGGGAGUUAGAAGACCUGGGUUCUAUUCCCAGCUCUGCCA